GACGAACGCUGGCGGCGUGCUUAACACAUGCAAGUCGAACGGAAAGGCCUUUUCGGAGGUACUCGAGUGGCGAACGGGUGAGUAACACGUGGGUGAUCUGCCCUGCACUCUGGGAUAAGCCUGGGAAACUGGGUCUAAUACCGGAUAGGACCGCACUUUAGUGUGUGUGGUGGAAAGUUUUUUCGGUGUAGGAUGAGCCCGCGGCCUAUCAGCUUGUUGGUGGGGUAAUGGCCUACCAAGGCGGCGACGGGUAGCCGGACUGAGAGGUUGGUCGGCCGCAUUGGGACUGAGAUACGGCCCAGACUCCUACGGGAGGCAGCAGUGGGGAAUAUUGCACAAUGGGCGCAAGCCUGAUGCAGCGACGCCGCGUGGGGGAUGACGGCCUUCGGGUUGUAAACUCCUUUCGCCAGGGGCGAAGCGUUUUGUGACGGUACCUGGAGAAGAAGCACCGGCUAACUACGUG
Molecule: ribosomal RNA, 463 nt
Filed under: uncultured bacterium
Lineage: Bacteria
Description: partial 16S ribosomal RNA
Rfam family: Bacterial small subunit ribosomal RNA
Source: RNAcentral